GCUUGGUUAGCUUAGUUGGUAGUGCGUCUGCCUUGUAAGCGCUAGGCCGUGGGUUCGAUUCCCGCCCGGGGCG
RNAcentral lists this transfer RNA (73 nucleotides) under Diaphorina citri (Asian citrus psyllid). It matches the Rfam family "tRNA". From Rfam's summary of the family: Transfer RNA (tRNA) molecules are approximately 80 nucleotides in length. Their secondary structure includes four short double-helical elements and three loops (D, anti-codon, and T loops). Further hydrogen bonds mediate the characteristic L-shaped molecular structure. tRNAs have two regions of fundamental functional importance: the anti-codon, which is responsible for specific mRNA codon recognition, and the 3' end, to which the tRNAs corresponding amino acid is attached (by aminoacyl-tRNA synthetases). tRNAs cope with the degeneracy of the genetic code in two manners: having more than one tRNA (with a specific anti-codon) for a particular amino acid; and 'wobble' base-pairing, i.e. permitting non-standard base-pairing at the 3rd anti-codon position. The record is from Rfam by way of RNAcentral. Lineage: Eukaryota; Metazoa; Arthropoda; Insecta; Hemiptera; Psyllidae.